CACGUAUUUAGCCGGGGCUUCUUAGUCAAGUACCGUCAUUUUCUUCCUUGCUGAUAGAAGUUUACAUACCGAAAUACUUCAUCCUUCACGCGGCGUCGCUGCAUCAGGGUUUCCCCCCAUUGUGCAAUAUUCCCUACUGCUGCCUCCCGUAGGAGUUUGGGCCGUGUCUCAGUCCCAAUGUGGCCGAUCACUCUCUCAAGUCGGCUACUGAUCGUUGCCUUGGUGGGCCGUUACCCCUCCAACUAGCUAAUCAGACGCGGGUCCAUCUUGUACCACCGGAGUUUUUCACACUGUAUCAUGCGAUACUGUGCGCUUAUGCGGUAUUAGCAGUCGUUUCCAACUGUUAUCCCCCUGUACAAGGCAGGUUACCCACGCGUUACUCACCCGUCCGCCACUCAGUCACCUCAAUUGUUUCAAUCCCUAGCAAGCUAGGUCAAUCAACGGGAGAGGUGCUUCGUUCGACUUGCAUGUAUUAAGCACGCCGCCAGCGUUCAU
RNAcentral lists this ribosomal RNA (495 nucleotides) under uncultured Lachnospiraceae bacterium. Its description in RNAcentral is "partial 16S ribosomal RNA". The record is from RNAcentral. Lineage: Bacteria; Bacillati; Bacillota; Clostridia; Lachnospirales; Lachnospiraceae.